UAGUCUGGGAUACCACUUGGAAACAGGUGCUAAUACCGGAUAAGAAAGCGGAUCGCAUGAUCAGCUUUUAAAAGGCGGCGUAAGCUGUCGCUAUGGGAUGGCCCCGCGGUGCAUUAGCUAGUUGGUAAGGUAAAGGCUUACCAAGGCGAUGAUGCAUAGCCGAGUUGAGAGACUGAUCGGCCACAUUGGGACUGAGACACGGUCCAAACUCCUACGGGAGGCAGCAGUG
RNAcentral lists this ribosomal RNA (229 nucleotides) under uncultured Lactobacillus sp. RNAcentral's name for it is "partial 16S ribosomal RNA". It matches the Rfam family "Bacterial small subunit ribosomal RNA", at positions 134 to 356 of the family's 1533-position model. Lineage: Bacteria; Bacillati; Bacillota; Bacilli; Lactobacillales; Lactobacillaceae. The record is from RNAcentral.